AUGAGAUCACUACUUUUGGAGGUGGCAAUCAGCAAAGUUUAUCCGGGCACCGUGCACAGGUGGUGCAAAUGGCAUGUGCUGAAGAAAGCGAAGGAGACACUGGGCCCUCUGUACACGAAGAAGAGUGAGUUCCAGGCUGAGUUCCACGAGGUUGUGAACCACAUGCUAACUGAAGACGAGUUUGAGACAACGUGGGAUAUGCUGUUAGAUAAGUACAAUCUGAGAAAGCACCCCUACAUGACCCAAAUAUAUGAAAUCAGAAAAAAAAAGUGGGCAAAACCAUAUUUCAAGGGUGUUUUCUGCGCCAAGAUGACGAGCACACAAUGCAGUAAGAGCGUUUCCCCAUGUUUGGCUUAUGACAGGGACAGAUCGAGCAUUUGCCGAAGAAGAUUGCUUACGAGAAAAUGA
Molecule: ribosomal RNA, 408 nt
Filed under: Triticum aestivum (bread wheat)
Lineage: Eukaryota; Viridiplantae; Streptophyta; Magnoliopsida; Poales; Poaceae
Description: partial small subunit ribosomal RNA
Source: RNAcentral